Molecule: unclassified non-coding RNA, 272 nt
Filed under: plant metagenome
Description: partial contains small subunit ribosomal RNA, internal transcribed spacer 1, and 5.8S ribosomal RNA
Source: RNAcentral
UUUCCGUAGGUGAACCUGGGGAAGGAUCAUUAAUGAGUUGUCAUGGGGUUCGAUGCUGGCAGCCAGUUUUUGGAUGCAUGUGCUUGACCAAACAAUCAUCUUCUUCCAAACACCUGUGCAAAUUUUUGAGGGAGUCUUGAGUUUGUUGCCGCUCUUGGGUGAUUUUCUCACAUUCCCUUAAAUCAUUAUACGCUAUUAACAAUGUUGAACGUGCUCUGUGCCGCAAGGCCAUUAAUAUAAUACAACUUUUAACAACGGAUCUCUUGGCUCUC